CACGUAGGGUGCGAGCGUUGUCCGGAAUUAUUGGGCGUAUAGAGCUCGUAGGCGGUGUGUCGCGUCGGCCGUGAAAACCUGCAGCUUAACUGUGGGCUUGCGGUCGAUACGGGCAUCACUGGAGUUCGGCAGGGGAGACUGGAAUUCCUGGUGUAGCGGUGAAAUGCGCAGAUAUCAGGAGGAACACCGGUGGCGAAGGCGGGUCUCUGGGCCGAUACUGACGCUGAGGAGCGAAAGCGAGGGGAGCGAACAGG
Molecule: ribosomal RNA, 254 nt
Filed under: uncultured bacterium
Lineage: Bacteria
Description: partial 16S ribosomal RNA
Rfam family: Bacterial small subunit ribosomal RNA
Source: RNAcentral